This is a long non-coding RNA of Myodes glareolus (Bank vole), 537 nucleotides long. RefSeq lists it as uncharacterized. NCBI's taxonomy places the organism in Eukaryota, Metazoa, Chordata, Mammalia, Rodentia, Cricetidae. The record is from RefSeq and is a predicted model, not a curated record.
UAAAAAGCUGUGGUUCAAGGACCACCACAGAAGAAGAGGUAGAAAGAAAGACUGUAGGAGACAGAGGUCAGGGAGGACUAGAACUAAACGAUUCUCCUGGACACUUAUGAGCUCAGAGCAGCCUACGGUUGCCUGCACAAGGCCAAACUGGCUGACAUUCUGGCAUGGGCUGGGAAGGGCUUCAUGAGCCCCCAACCCUGAGAAGCUGUGGACAACUGAUGGCUUCUAGAGGAGGAAGAGUCAGUGUUCCUAAAAGACUGAGAAACCAAGGCUAGGAAGAAUAGGGAGGACCCUAAACACAGCCUUGCGCUACCUCUGAAGAGAAUCGUCAUCGAACUCCGCCUUGAACUUCCACCUUGAACUCGGUAGAGUUGACACAGUGUAAUUUACUGCUUCAUUCUCGCCUGCCCCAGGUUAUUCUUGCUCUGUUCCCUGGCUAUUUGCAUCCAGUGGGAGUGGCUUGCCUUGGUCUUGGAUUUCUACAUGUAAUUACUCCACCGCUGUCCCCCAAAUUAUAAGGCUGUUGUUCAGCUCUCA